RNAcentral lists this ribosomal RNA (469 nucleotides) under uncultured anaerobic ammonium-oxidizing bacterium. Its description in RNAcentral is "bacterial SSU rRNA". It matches the Rfam family "Bacterial small subunit ribosomal RNA", at positions 365 to 824 of the family's 1533-position model. The record is from RNAcentral.
UUCGCAAUGCCCGAAAGGGUGACGAAGCGACGCCGCGUGGGUGAGGAAGGCCCUCGGGUUGUAAAGCCCUGUCAGGAGUUAAGAAAUGUAGAUUCGCUAAUAUCGUAUCUAUUUGACAAAGGCUCCAAAGGAAGCCACGGCUAACUCUGUGCCAGCAGCCGCGGUAAUACAGAGGUGGCAAGCGUUGUUCGGAAUUAUUGGGCGUAAAGAGCACGUAGGUGGAUUUGUAAGUCAGAUGUGAAAGCCUUCUGUUCAACGGAAGAAUUGCAUCUGAAACUACAAACCUUGAGUAUAGGAGGGGAGAAUGGAACUUCUGGUGGAGCGGUGAAAUGCGUAGAUAUCAGAAGGAACGCCGGCGGCGAAAGCGAUUCUCUGGCCUAUUACUGACACUCAGUGUGCGAAAGCUAGGGGAGCAAACGGGAUUAGAUACCCCGGUAGUCCUAGCCGUAAACGAUGGGCACUAAGUAGA